UUGACCUCAAAUCAGGUAGGACUACCCGCUGAACUUAAGCAUAUCAAUAAGCGGAGGAAAAGAAACUAACAAGGAUUCCCCUAGUAACUGCGAGUGAAGCGGGAAAAGCUCAAAUUUGAAAUCUGGCAGUUCUUGAACUGUCCGAGUUGUAAUCUAGAGAAGUGUUACCUGUGCUGGACCGUGUACAAGUCUCCUGGAAUGGAGCAUCACAGAGGGUGAGAAUCCCGUCUUUGACAYGGACUGCCUGUACGAUAUGGUGCGCUCUCGAAGAGUCGAGUUGUUUGGGAAUGCAGCUCAAAAUGGGUGGUAAAUGCCAUCUAAAGCUAAAUAUUGGCGAGAGACCGAUAGCGAACAAGUACCGUGAGGGAAAGAUGAAAAGAACUUUGGAAAGAGAGUUAAACAGUACGUGAAAUUGCUGAAAGGGAAACGCUUGAAGUCAGUCGCGUCGGCUAGAAAUCAGCCUUUGCUUUUGCUUGGUGUACUUUCUGGUUGAUGGGUCAGCAUCAAUUUUGACCAUCGGAUAAAGUCAUUGGGAAUGUGGCAUCUUAGGAUGUGUUAUAGCCCAUUGUCGCAUACGGUGGUUGGGAUUGAGGAACUCAGCAUGAGCGAGAUGACGCUCGUGCUUAGGAUGCUGGCAUAAUGGCUUUAAUCGACCCGUC
Molecule: ribosomal RNA, 659 nt
Filed under: Inocybe nitidiuscula
Lineage: Eukaryota; Fungi; Basidiomycota; Agaricomycetes; Agaricales; Inocybaceae
Description: eukaryotic LSU rRNA
Rfam family: Eukaryotic large subunit ribosomal RNA
Source: RNAcentral